CAAUGGACAAUGUUCACAUGAAGAACUCACAGCCUCCCAGCUGGGCAGAUGGGAACGGUUCCAAGAGUUCAUGCAGAACAGUGGCUUAAACAAGACCAUUCAGGACAUUUGGGCGAGCUCUGUGUGAGCACAUGUUCAUACAAAGAAGUCAGAAGAGGGUGCCGGAAAUCCUGGAACUGGAGGUACAGGUGAGCAUGUGAGUGGGAAGAGCUACUGGGAACUGAACUUGGGCCCUAUGAAAGAGCAGUGCCCACUCUUACCUGGCAAGCCUUCUUUCCAGCCCUCACAUUGUUGAGCAUUCUAGAAUUUUGGCCCCACAAAAGAUUCUGGAUUUAUCAGUUUGUUUGUUUUUUUCCUUCCAAAGUCCUUUGAAACUUCCAUUCACAUUUCAGAAUAUUAUUUCUGGAAAAACAACCACGGAGGCGAAACAUACAAGGAACUUCUUUUUAAUGGAAGAAACGAGAAUAUAAAUUGCUUUUAGAGUUCUGUUUUGUUUUACUAGGUCUGGCAGCUCUAUAGCCAAUUUCUUCACGAAAGGAAAGUGUCACAAGGAACUGAGAGCAUUUAUUAAUGUCUGUCUGCUCAGGGACAAGUUAGCCAAAGAGGCCCAUUUUAAGAGACUCCAUAUUUUACUUUGUUUUCCUGAGAACAGCCAGGACUAAUUAGAAGAUGCUCGCAGCUUGUAGUCGUUAGAUCUGAGCGUUUGCUAACAAGCUCUCCUACGUAAAACGAAGCCGGAUCACAUCUUAAUUUCCCAGUCCACGUCUCUUUCCAGGCCACCAUUGCCAUCUCUCUGUUUAAUUGCAAUAAUUUGUUUUGUUUAAUGUCAUUACUGGGCAGAGGAAGUUGGGAUAGAAAUAUCUCAAGUGCUCCACCUCAUUCGAAUCCCAGUCAUGAAUGCUGGAGAAAGCGUGGUGACUUCUUUACUAAAAAAGAAAACAGUCGAGAACAAUAGUAUGCAGUUUACGAAUUCCACCCAACCACUGGACAAAUAAGCUACCGAAUCACACGAGCCAUGUCACAACGAGGCCACACAAGACCAGCUGCUUCGUAAAGGAGCCUGGGAGCCAGAGGGGGAGCUUUGAAGAUAAAUAGUGCCACAUGUGAAAAGAAAAUAAAAAUCCUUAACAAAC
Long non-coding RNA from Mastomys coucha (southern multimammate mouse), 1133 nucleotides. RefSeq lists it as uncharacterized. The record is from RefSeq and is a predicted model, not a curated record. NCBI's taxonomy places the organism in Eukaryota, Metazoa, Chordata, Mammalia, Rodentia, Muridae. The transcript is spliced from 2 exons.